Long non-coding RNA from Cydia splendana, 4237 nucleotides. RefSeq lists it as uncharacterized. The record is from RefSeq and is a predicted model, not a curated record. The transcript has 2 exons. Lineage: Eukaryota; Metazoa; Arthropoda; Insecta; Lepidoptera; Tortricidae.
UAUGUACUUACUAUUUUUUUACAGUUUAAAAAAAAAAUGACAUGUCAAGAUUGUUUUCCCUUUGUCUAAUGCUAAAAAAAAACCUGGCAAGUGCGAGUCGGACUCGCGCACGAAGGGUUCCGUACCAUAAUGCAAAAAAAAACAAAAAAAAAGCAAAAAAAAAACGGUCACCCAUCCAAAUACUGACCACUCCCGACGUUGCUUAACUUUGGUCAAAAAUCACGUUUGUUGUAUGGGAGCCCCAUUUAAAUCUUUAUUUUAUUCUGUUUUUAGUAUUUGUUGUUAUAGCGGCAACAGAAAUACAUCAUCUGUGAAAAUUUCAACUGUCUAGCUAUCACGGUUCGUGAGAUACAGCCUGGUGACAGACGGACGGACGGACGGACGGACGGACGGACAGCGAAGUCUUAGUAAUAGGGUCCCGUUUUACCCUUUGGGUACGGAACCCUAAAAACGAGGUAUAGCCGCGUCUAUAUAAUCGAAGUUACUUGUAAUUUCGAGCGAUAGAGAGGCAGAUAAUGGUUAUAGAAUUUUUAAUGUUGAUGGUAGACCUUCAUUGAAAUUUACAACUCUAAACUGCGCCUCUGAAUGAUCUGAUGAAAGUGGUGUCAGCGGCAAUUAUGUGCAAGUAUAUUAUUUGAUGUGCAAGCCCUUCUAGCCUCCUAUAGCCCAAGGUCCUACCUAUGGUACCUUUUCAGUUCGAUGAAAUUUAAAUAUUCAAACAAAUAAAAAUCAACCCUAUUACCUGCACUAUAGGUUCAAAAUUUCAUUGGAAAAUUUUGGUUUUGGCAUUUGUAUGGCUGGGCCAUAGGUGGCUAGCAGCUACUUAUGUUUCCACGACCAGUCUGACCAAAAGAGACGGUUGUAUGGUAUGAGUGAGAUAGAAAUAAUUGUCAUUGCGUCCUUUUUGGUCAGUUAAGAUGUUAGGAUUACGAUUUAAAUUGUCAGUAAAACUAAGAAAGUAGGUCACACGCACAUUGACGUUAUUAGUGUUAUUACAUAUACCACUACACCUUAUAAAACAAAGUCGCCCGCCGCGUCUGUCUGUUUGUGUGUUUCUUCGCGAUAAACUCAAAAACUACUGAACGGAUUUUGAGGCGGUUUCCACUUAUCAAUAGAGUGAUUCUCGAGGUUUAGGUGUAUGUAUGAUUUGUUAUACGUUGCAUGCAUAGCACGUUGAUGGGCUCUUAAAUAUGACAUCUAAGUGUUUUACCCUAUAGGAUAUCCCAUCCCAUACGGACCUUAAAUAAAGAUUCUAAAUGUAUAUGGGCUCUGAUUAUUGUCUAUGGUAACUUAAAUAUUUAUAAAAAAAAAUCACAGACCACAGGUAAUAAUUAGAUCCCGCGUGAUAUAGCCCUGUAUCUGCUAAUAAAGUGACGCCAUGGUAUUAAGUUGUAUAAAGUGUAAAUAAUUAUUGACUAAGUACAUUAUAACCCCCUUAUUCAUAAAACUUUACGGGCCUGAUUUGGUUAAAUUAUGUUUUAUCCCUUUCUUACUAAUACAUAAGUCAAAAUGACAGAAAAGGACAAACGAUUAUCAGCUAAUUGUGGUUUGUAGCGCGUUUAUGAAUAAGGGGGUUAAACUUUUUUUUUUUAAGUAUAUUCAUUUGAUAUAACGACAACAUGACGAGGGUAUUAUUGUAACACAAAAUGUAUUUAGGUUUUUUUUUAUGACGAGGUGCUUGUUUAAUUUUAAGUAAAUUCGAAGUUUGAAAAGGCUCAAUUAUAUUAAAAUUAUUAUACAUGCGCUCUCAAAAUAGUUUACAAGAAAAACGAUCAAACUUGAUCCUUUGUAUUAGAACAAAUUAAAUUAUUUUCAGUAAAUAUUUUAAUUUUUUUAUUUUUUCCAAGUAGAAACACUGCUACAUAUAUGUAUGUAUAAAUUAUAAACUGAAAUAAAAGUCAUAUACUAAGAAAAAGUGACCAAGGUCUCCAGUGCCCAGGCUGGAAUCGAACCAGCGUCCUCUGCUAUCGCGGCAGGUGCCUAUGCCAUUCGGCCACCAGGCCACAGCGGCAUAGGUGAAUUUUUCCAUGUAUAAGCACUUCGUGGCACCCCUAAGGUAGAACAGUAUGGUUCGACCGUUCUUUUUCUUAGUAUAUGUAUAUGACAUUUAUUUCAUUUUAAAAUUUGAUCCUUUCUUGUAGCGUUAGUGAAUUAUUUAAGGUCCAUCCUAAAUGUAUGAUAUGAAAACACAAUAUUGUUCUAAGUCAUAAUGCAACAAUAACGGUAUUUCAAUUGAUAUGUAAAUGAGAGCUAACAGUGAAUGAGACAAAAACAUCGACGGGUGUCCGCUAGCAGGCGCGGGUGGGUUCACGAAGCGGGCGCACGCACGCGGGUAUAGUUGUUCGACUUGUAACUGACCCACAACGGCUAAUCCUUUGUCUAUUGUUAAGUAAAACCGCACGUGCCAUUACCUGCAAAAAGAGGGUCGUAUAGAUUCUAAUAGGCACCUGAGCGCGGGCUAGGUGCGCUCUCCGAUAACGCGCCUUUGUUACGCAUCUCGAUCACACAUUUUAGAUUGGUUCUGUAGCGCUCGACUCAGUAAUUACUUAUUCUGUGGUAGAGGGGCAAUGAAAUGGCAUAUUAUUUUUCCAUUUAUUGCAAUUUCCAUAGUACAGUUGUAAUUCAAUAACCGGUUAAAGUGACCGGUGCAGGUCAGGCACGUGCGGUUUUACUUAACAAUAGAUAAAGGAUUAGCCGUUCUGGGCCAGUUACAAAUCGAGCAACUAUACCAUUGUAAGUAAAAUCCGUCGCACGGGUCCGCGCCUGCGCCCAUAUUGCUUAUCGAGCUCCAUGCAACCGCGUCAGCUACCCCGCUAGCGGACGACUUGUUUCCACUUAAAUAUUCUGUUUGUUCCUACAUAAGCUCUGGUCAUUUUUUCUUGAUUGGGUAAUAUGCUUAAUUAAUGUUUUUGUCACUGAGGUAGGCGGUCAUGCUAUUGGCACAUUAGCUUUGUUUUAAACUGAAAAUUUCUCAAACAAGCGCCCUGAAGUGCCAACUAGUGAAUAUUUAUAAGUUUAUGCUUUACAUUAUUUGAAGCGGACUGAACUGACUGGCUUAUUACAUUUUGAUUCUUCGUGCUUAUAAAGUAAGGUCGAUAUUUGAAUAGGUUAUAUUGUUAAGUUCAUCUCAAAUAAUUUAAAAUGUAUCCUACUCUAUUACAUGCAUUUAUUUUCCUCGUAAAGACUAAUGGACAUAGCAAUUAUAAGUAAACUACUUGUAGUAAUAAAAUAAUCAACGACUUAUGAAGUAAUCGUAAUCCUAAGGAAUUUGACGUCAUCAAGCGCAUUAUUGUGUCAUUCAACUACUUACCUGCUGAACUAAAGUAUUAUAAUUGUAUAUCGACAACGACAUAUAGCCAGAGACAAAUAAAUAAUAGAGAUUUAACUUGCGUUCUUUCGUCAUCAUCACAAGGUGUCGGUGCCGUAUAUUUUAUUGGGCUUCGACGCGACAUUCAAUAUAAAAUAUUUCGAAUAUGUACUCAUUAUCGCCUACACUCACUUUUGUGAACCACCUAUUUUUCUAAUGAUGUUAGGGAGUUGCAGUAGAAAAUAGAAUCAAACGCCGUAACCCGGGUGUACCCAAGUGGAUACAAUGGGUGCUAAUGGGUUAAAUUUGUAUUCCUAAGGGUGGUAUUCUACUUGUCCAAUUUCAUUGCGCAAAGCUCAUUAAGCAAAGUGUGAGACGCAAUACACAUUGCACAAAGAUAUUGGACAAAUGGAAUACCACCCUAAGAAACAAAAUAAAACAACAAUUAAUCACUGAAGCCAAUUAAAAGGGUUGUUGAUACAUACAUUUUUUUACUUGGUGAUUUAAGCAAAGAGUAGUUAAAGUGGCGAUAUCUAAAGCAAUGAUGAGGAACGCAACCUUGUAUUUGUACAGAGGGUGACAAUCUCUAUUAUUUACGUGCAUCUUAUAUUACCAGUCUUUUUUUCUCCGGCUGAUGACCCUGUAUUCCACCUGACCAAUUUCUUUGUCCAGUGUCAGUGCGUCUCACUCUCUCAUUAAAGCAAAAUGUGAGACGCAAUACACAUUGGACAAAGAAAUUGGAUAGGUGUAAUACCACCCUAACAUACAUUAUAGUACUUUUUUUAAGUGACGCACUGUGCUCUUGUACGUAAUCAUUGUGGUUUCGAUGUGAAUUCAUUGCUCAUUGUAAGGUUGUGAUCGUUUGACUGUAGUUGUGUUUAAAUGAAGUGCCUCACACAUGUCAUGUUUAAUUUAUUUGUAUUAAACUGC